Molecule: microRNA precursor, 126 nt
Filed under: Chinchilla lanigera (long-tailed chinchilla)
Lineage: Eukaryota; Metazoa; Chordata; Mammalia; Rodentia; Chinchillidae
Description: miRNA (ENSCLAG00000021304.1)
Source: RNAcentral
GUUUCGCUAUGCAGCUCAGGCUGGGCUUGAGCUCACUUUGUAGCCCAGGCUGGCCUUGAACUCCCAACAAUUCUCCUGCCUCAGCCUCCUGAGUGCUGGGAUUACAGGCAUGCGCCACCAUGCCCG